RNAcentral lists this ribosomal RNA (399 nucleotides) under Bacteroidota bacterium. RNAcentral describes it as "Bacteroidetes bacterium partial 16S ribosomal RNA". It matches the Rfam family "Bacterial small subunit ribosomal RNA", at positions 358 to 776 of the family's 1533-position model. Lineage: Bacteria; Pseudomonadati; Bacteroidota. The record is from RNAcentral.
GGAAUUUUGCACAAUGGGGGAAACCCUGAUGCAGCGACGCCGCGUGAUUUAGAAGGCCUUCGGGUUGUAAAAAUCUUUUCUAUGGGAAGAAAAUGACAGUACCAUAGGAAUAAGGACCGGCUAAUUACGUGCCAGCAGCCGCGGUAAUACGUAAGGUCCGAGCGUUGUCCGGAAUCAUUGGGCGUAAAGGGUACGUAGGCGGGUAAGCAAGUUAGAAGUGAAAUCCUGUAGCUCAACUACAGUAAGCUUUUAAAACUGCUCAUCUUGAGAUAUGGAAGGGAAAGUGGAAUUCCUAGUGUAGCGGUGAAAUGCGCAGAUAUUAGGAGGAAUACCGGUGGCGAAGGCGACUUUCUGGCCAUAAUCUGACGCUGAGGUACGAAAGCGUGGGUAGCAAACAGG